RNAcentral lists this ribosomal RNA (331 nucleotides) under uncultured bacterium. RNAcentral describes it as "bacterial SSU rRNA". It matches the Rfam family "Bacterial small subunit ribosomal RNA", at positions 568 to 898 of the family's 1533-position model. The record is from RNAcentral.
CGUGUAGGCGGCAAUGUAAGUCAGACGUGAAAUCCUUUGGCUCAACUGAAGAACUGCGUCUGAAACUGCAUGGCUAGAGUGCAGAAGAGGGAAACGGAAUUCCAGGUGUAGAGGUGAAAUUCGUAGAUAUCUGGAGGAACACCGGUGGCGAAGGCGGUUUCCUGGUCUGACACUGACGCUGAGGCGCGAAAGCGUGGGGAGCAAACAGGAUUAGAUACCCUGGUAGUCCAACGCCGUAAACGGUGGGUACUGGGUGUGGGAGGUGUAAUGCCUUCUGUGCCGAAGCUAACGCGUUAAGUACCCGCCUGGGGAGUACGGCCGCAAGGUUGAA